UCGAGAAUCUUCGGCAAUGAGCGCAAGCUUGACCGAGCGACGCCGCGUGCGGGAUGAAGGCCUUCGGGUUGUAAACCGCUGUCAGUGGGGAGGAAAUGCCAUAGGGUUCUCUCUAUGGUUUGACCUAUCUUCAGAGGAAGGGCGGGCUAAGUUCGUGCCAGCAGCCGCGGUAAGACGAACCGCCCAAACGUUAUUCGGAAUCACUGGGCUUAAAGGGUGCGUAGGCGGCGUCGUCAGUCGGGUGUGAAAUCCCACAGCUCAACUGUGGAACUGCGCCCGAUACUGCGGUGCUUGAGGGAGACAGAGGCAAGCGGAACUGAUGGUGGAGCGGUGAAAUGCGUUGAUAUCAUCAGGAACACCGGUGGCGAAAGCGGCUUGCUGGGUCUCUUCUGACGCUGAGGCACGAAAGCUAGGGUAGCGAACGGGAUUAGAUACCCCUGUAGUCC
This 446-nucleotide ribosomal RNA is filed under the name uncultured prokaryote. RNAcentral's name for it is "bacterial SSU rRNA". It matches the Rfam family "Bacterial small subunit ribosomal RNA", at positions 355 to 796 of the family's 1533-position model. The record is from RNAcentral.